CACGUAGGGUGCGAGCGUUGUCCGGAAUUAUUGGGCGUAAAGAGCUCGUAGGCGGUGUGUCGCGUCGGCCGUGAAAACCUGCAGCUUAACUGUGGGCUUGCGGUCGAUACGGGCAUCACUGGAGUUCGGCAGGGGAGACUGGAAUUCCUGGUGUAGCGGUGAAAUGCGCAGAUAUCAGGAGGAACACCGGUGGCGAAGGCGGGUCUCUGGGCCGAUACUGACGCUGAGGCGCGAAAGUUAGGGUAGCAAACAGG
RNAcentral lists this ribosomal RNA (254 nucleotides) under uncultured bacterium. RNAcentral's name for it is "partial 16S ribosomal RNA". It matches the Rfam family "Bacterial small subunit ribosomal RNA", at positions 524 to 776 of the family's 1533-position model. The record is from RNAcentral.